Molecule: long non-coding RNA, 3018 nt
Organism: Homo sapiens (human)
Lineage: Eukaryota; Metazoa; Chordata; Mammalia; Primates; Hominidae
Product: long intergenic non-protein coding RNA 2668
Source: Ensembl
ACACAUUUCAUCACCUCUCAGAAGGGGUUAACAUCACAGAAUUCCAAGUCUGAGGGUGGAGCCCUGAUCCUGAGAAGGUUUUGUUGAGUUCGGGACAGUAUUUCUUUACCCAUCCUUCAUGAAGAUAAAAAAUGAGGCAAAAUAGACACUAAAAUGGUCUCUGACAUCUCCUCAUGCCACCAGACAAGGAGUAACCAUGGUAACAAGAAGCCUAGAAAAAUUGGGGAAUGAGGAAGACCAGGAAUGAGAGCUCCCCUCAGCCCUGGGGGGACCUGAGUGUCCACAGCUGAGCCUUCUCUGCUUCCCUUUUCUCUUCUGGAUUCUGAUGGAGGAUAUUUUCAUCUUCCUCCCAAAAUCAUCAGAAAGCAUAAGGACAUAUAUAAACCGCUUUGCAAAAAGAGAGUGUAUGGAAUAAAAGAGAAAAUGAAGAAGAGGAGAAAGGCUGGAGUGCAAUGGUGUGAUCUCAGCUCACUGCAGCCUCAACCUCCCUGGCUCAGGUGAUUCUCCCACCUCAGCUUCCUGAUUAACUGGGAUUACAGUAAUGGUGAAAUUGCCGGUAAUCGCUAAGUAAAAACCACUGAAGAACAGGACAGAAGCCAAUGACCACCUCACCUCCACCGAGUGCCCUGCAGAAAAAGGAAAUGGAAAUCCUUCCUGUUAUUCUCCGCGUCCCUUCGUAGAAGGCUGCCUGAGAGGUCAGCACAGGAGUCCUCUAAGUGCCCUGCAGAGAACACGGGUCUCGGAGCCGGACAAACCUAAAUUUUGAAACCCACUUUGAGUUUGAACUUGGCUGUGGGAAAGUUACACAAUCGCUCUAAGCCUCUGUUUUCUCAUCAGUAAAACAGAGAGGGGUUGCUUGUGUGAGAAGUGGCCGCUGCCAAUCAUCUGCGUGUCCUUCACUCUCCCAGGGGCCAUGGGUCUGUAUUCUACACAUGUGGGAUCUUCCUCUGGACCCUUCGGACAUGGUCCACACGCUGCCCUCAGGAUCUGCUGGGGUCUGCAUGGGGGGUGAGACGUGAACCCCAACCACGUUCACCACAGAGAGGAAACUGGGGGGAUGGAGGGGGGGACAAGGCCAGGUCACCUUCAGGUGCCGCCCGCCAGCAAGGCGGUUUGCACCCGGCUGAAUGAGCUUUAAAAAAGACAGUUUUUUCUGUAGUUUAGAAUCAUGGUUUCACUAAAUGGUGAAAUAAUUUUAUGCCACUUCCCCUACUAAUUACCAUCUCAUUGUUAUUAGAAAGGAUGGUUUCCUUGAAGUCUAGAAAAUUUUGUUCCAGUCCAUUUCAACGGUGCAGGAGAAACGUGGCUUCCAUUCCGAGGAAGACGGCGACACCUAGUGACCGUUCCCUCGCGGUGCGAUGGCCUCACACCUGUGCGGCGGGUCGUCCGGGGCGUAGGGUGCUGCGGCCUUGCGGUCUUCCCUGCGCUGCAAGGCAGGGCAUGGUGGCAGAUUAACACCUGGAUGAACACGGGCAGGUCAGGAGACAAAUAAAACCCAGAGGUCUUUGAAACUUCAAAAUCCCGUAGGGUGUGUGACCCCAGUGAGCCCCACGCUACAUCCAGCGAGAACCGAGAAGUGAUGGUGCAGACAUUCUUGGGUCCCCCAGACAGAACACACCGGGAGUUACUGCCUCUUUCUCAUCCCGAGUCCUCCUGACUUUCCCCAGCACCCAUCGUGGCUGCAGCCAGGACACAGGUAAAUGUAAUUUCCCUCCCCUUCCAUCCUCGCUUUCACAUCGGUGUGAUUGACUGAGGGCCUGCAGACUCUCUCCACGUGCGGGUGCCCUGCAGCCUGACACACAAAUGCGUUCAUCCUUCCCCUUUAUCCUGACCCCGAACUAAUGACGCAGCUUCCUGAGACACAGAGGAUGCUUCUCCUCGUCCCCCCUCGCGCUCUGAAGUGGGAAAAGAUGUGUUCCAUCUGUUCUGGAAUUUUCACUGUAAAGAAGAGAAUGAAUUUUAACUGUGUUUUUGACAUAUCCCUAAACAAGAAGUGGUUUAUAGAGUGAAACCAUUUUCCCUUCAUCUAAAAUUUAAAAAAAAAAAAAAAGAGAGAGAAAAGUGCAAGACUGAAGAUGUGUGUUGAGCGGGGUGAGGAAGCGUGGGGGACUCGGCGCUGGAGGAGCCCCGGGUGUGUUUAGGGUUUGUGGUCAGGGGCCCUGGGCACCAGGUCCAGUCUGAAGCACCCGGGGGGAUGGACGAUGUUUGUGUAAGAGAGGGACAAAGGGAUGGCAGGGUGGCCAAGCAGAGACGCGAUUCCCUCUGUGCCCUUCCUGGACCAGCUUUGUAUUCUAACAGCAACGUCUCUGUUCUUGGGAAGAGCUCCUCGGUGAUUACCUGCCCGCCCCUUGUCUCCUCUUAUUCCCGCUGCCACAGGGCAGGGCCGCCCAGCUCCAGCUCAGACACACACCUGCUCCAACUGCUGUGCUGGUCACAGGCCCAGAGCACCACGUGUCCUCUGGGGUCUGUGUGGUCGGCGCCGUGCGUGGGACCACUGUGAGUGACCCUCCUCUUGUGUCACAGAGCCACUGUACCCGUGUGCACCUGUGCUCUGAGACCUGGAUACCCCUGGAAGGACAGACACCGAGGACCCGAGUGCACUGGAGUCCCGCUCCCACAGAUCCUGCUGCUGGGAGAACUGUCAGCCAGGAACGGGACUGCGGUGGGGAAUUCCUUCUGUCAACACACUUUCUAAUCUAAGCUCCAGACUCCACUUCCAGACUAGCACAGGCUUUUUCCCCCACAUCUCCUUCUCUGCAGCCGGGGCUCCUGCCGGGUCUGCGGAGCCCAGAGCCAUGCUCUCUGCCGACUCCAUCUCCAGAUGCCUGCCCCGGCACCCACGCUGUUGCCAGGACACCAGUGAACCCAGACAGGGUGAGCAGGUUGCAGCAGGGUACCGGGAGGAAUGCCCGGCUGGCCCAUGUCUUGAAAUCAGUCUCAUUGAACAAUCCGGGAAAGAGAUGACCUAGCCUAUUCUAAGGCUAUCGAUGUGAAUUGGAUUCUUCCAUUUCCCCUGAA